This 253-nucleotide ribosomal RNA is filed under the name uncultured bacterium. Its description in RNAcentral is "partial 16S ribosomal RNA". It matches the Rfam family "Bacterial small subunit ribosomal RNA", at positions 524 to 776 of the family's 1533-position model. The record is from RNAcentral.
UACAGAGGGUGCAAGCGUUAAUCGGAAUUACUGGGCGUAAAGCGUGCGUAGUCGGUUAUCUAAGUCAGGUGUGAAAUCCCCGGGCUCAACCCGGGAACUGCGUCCGAUACUGGAAGGCUUGAAUCCGGGAGAGGGAUGUGGAAUUCCAGGUGUAGCGGUGAAAUGCGUAGAUAUCUGGAGGAACACCGGUGGCGAAGGCGACAUCCUGGACCGGUAUUGACGCUGAGGCGCGAAAGCCAGGGGAGCAAACGGG